CAGUUUAGCACCCCCAAAUCCCACUUCCUUAAGGCAAGGCUCAUAUUCUAUAUAAAAUGCCAGCUGGCCAGAGAUUUCUCACCAGACCCAGGAGACCAGACAACUCAAACGUUUCUUCACAUCAGGUCCAGCCUUCUUUAAAGCAUGAGUUCCUACCAGCAGAAACAGCCUUUCACCCCACCCCCAGAGCCUGAGCAGCAGCAGGUGAAGCAGCCCUGCCAGCCUCCACCUCCACCUCAGGAACCAUUUGUUCCCAUAAUUGAGGAGCCAUGCCUUCCAAAGGUUCCACAGCUGGACGACACCAAGGUUCCCGAGCAAGGCUAUUCCACACUUCCGGAGCCACGUCCCAUCAAAGAUCCGGAGCCAGUCUACACCAAUGUCCCUCAGCCUGGAAAUACCAAGGUGCCUGAGGCAUGCUCCUCAUUGGUCAUUCCAGGCCCAAACCAGAAGAAGGACAACCAGAAGUAACGUGGUCCACAGCUAUGCUCUUGAGGAACCAACCUCCAGAUAUUGAACACCUUCUCCCCUUUUGUUUCUCUGUCUUCAUUUUGUAGAUCUUGCAAUGAGUAUUUUCUCUCCCUGAGUCAUAGCCUCUCUUGUUUGCAUCCUAAAAAUAUGUGCUAUGAGGUUUUCCUUACUCUGAACAGUCCUCUGAGUUCUGAGUUCUGCAGAAGGCCUUAGCAGCUUUACUGAUUCUCAGUUGCUUGGGGUUUAUCUGAGGGGAGAACCUGGAUUUGAAGAAAUACCUCUUUCCCUUUCUACCUCUAUUAAAACACUUUAAAGCACA
Capra hircus (goat) is the source of this 787-nucleotide long non-coding RNA. RefSeq lists it as uncharacterized. Lineage: Eukaryota; Metazoa; Chordata; Mammalia; Artiodactyla; Bovidae. The transcript has 2 exons. The record is from RefSeq and is a predicted model, not a curated record.